GCUGAAGCAGGAAUUCAUCAUUUUAAAAGAGAGAUCUGGGUUCAACAGGCAGAAUUCAGGAGACAAUCAGAAACAUAAGAGGGUCUUUAAGAUUCAGCUGCAUUAAUAAAACAGACAGAUGCAGAUGAACAAGAAUAAAUAAGAGUUUAGAAGCUCAGAAUGUAGCAAAAAAAAUGUCCUGAGGAGCCUGAGUCUGAGUAAAUCUGCCACAAUGAUGAUGAUGAUGAUGAAGAUGGUGAAGAUGAUGAAGAUGACGAUGAUCAUUCUCUAAACAUGGAGCCGUUGAUCUGCUCAGAUUCAGAUUGAUUCAGUGAAUCAGAUUCAUCAGAUCUGAGCUGCAUUUGGACACCAGAUUCAGGAUCCCUGAGAGAAUCAGAUUCAGAUUGAUUCAGUGAAUCAGAUUCAUCAGAUCUGAGCUGCAUUUGGACACCCGGUUCAGGAUCUCUGAGAGAAUCAGAUUCAGAUU
Cyprinus carpio carpio is the source of this 466-nucleotide long non-coding RNA. NCBI's taxonomy places the organism in Eukaryota, Metazoa, Chordata, Actinopteri, Cypriniformes, Cyprinidae. The record is from Ensembl.